UACGUGGGGACCGAGCGUUGUCCGGAGUUACUGGGCGUAAAGGGCGUGCAGGUGGCUCGGCAAGCGUGGCGUGAAAGCCCCCGGCCCAACCGGGGAGGGUCGUCGCGGACUGUCGGGCUUGAGGGGCGCAGGGGUCGGUGGAAUUCCGGGUGUAGUGGUGAAAUGCGUAGAGAUCCGGAGGAACACCAGUGGCGAAGGCGGCCGACUGGGCGCACCCUGACACUGAGACGCGAAGGCGUGGGGAGCGAACGGG
This 253-nucleotide ribosomal RNA is filed under the name uncultured bacterium. Its description in RNAcentral is "partial 16S ribosomal RNA". It matches the Rfam family "Bacterial small subunit ribosomal RNA", at positions 524 to 776 of the family's 1533-position model. The record is from RNAcentral.